This 68-nucleotide small RNA is filed under the name Nonomuraea dietziae. Its description in RNAcentral is "ASdes TB sRNA". It matches the Rfam family "ASdes TB sRNA". The record is from Rfam by way of RNAcentral. Lineage: Bacteria; Bacillati; Actinomycetota; Actinomycetes; Streptosporangiales; Streptosporangiaceae.
AGCGCGAUCGGGUCCACCGCGCGCGAGACGGUCAGGUAGUCGCGGAUGGCGACGCCGUGCCUGCCCUC